UAAGAGGUGCAUUAAACACCAAACAGGUAC
This 30-nucleotide non-coding RNA is filed under the name Homo sapiens (human). The record is from RNAcentral. Lineage: Eukaryota; Metazoa; Chordata; Mammalia; Primates; Hominidae.